AUAAAUAGUCUAUUUAAAAUGAAACAAAUUAAUGUAUUGUGAUGAAAGGAUGACAAAGCAUAUAAGGAGUUCUAAACUGGACUGUGACAGUAUUUCCCUGGGUUUUGUGAUGCUGAGACACAGCUUCCUGCUAUGAAGAUCUCAUCCAUUCUGCCUACAAUUAUCUUUUUGUCACUUUUGAUUGCCUCUGGUUUCACACAUGAGGCAAUUGACUUCGAUGCCAAUUGUCGGCGGUCUGGAGGGCAGUGCAAACCAUUGGGGUGUGAAAAGCCCUAUAUAGCAGUAGGAAAAUGUAAAAGAAAUGCACCUUGCUGUGUUUCAGAGUAAGUAC
Heteronotia binoei (common prickly gecko) is the source of this 331-nucleotide long non-coding RNA. RefSeq lists it as uncharacterized. The record is from RefSeq and is a predicted model, not a curated record. The transcript is spliced from 3 exons. NCBI's taxonomy places the organism in Eukaryota, Metazoa, Chordata, Lepidosauria, Squamata, Gekkonidae.